CAGCCGCCGCGGUAAGACAGAGGAUGCAAGCGUUGUCCGGAAUUAUUGGGCGUAAAGGGCUCGCAGGCGGUUUCUUAAGUCUGAUGUGAAAGCCCCCGGCUCAACCGGGGAGGGUCAUUGGAAACUGGAAACUUGAGUGCAGAAGAGGAGAGUGGAAUUCCACGUGUAGCGGUGAAAUGCGUAGAGAUGUGGAGGAACACCAGUGGCGAAGCCGACUCUCUGGUCUGUAACUGACGCUGAGGAGCGAAAGCGUGGGGAGCGAACAGGAUUAGAUACCCCCGUAGUCCCUGUCUCUUAUACA
This 301-nucleotide ribosomal RNA is filed under the name uncultured bacterium. RNAcentral describes it as "partial 16S ribosomal RNA". It matches the Rfam family "Bacterial small subunit ribosomal RNA", at positions 509 to 808 of the family's 1533-position model. The record is from RNAcentral.